Molecule: ribosomal RNA, 830 nt
Filed under: uncultured bacterium
Lineage: Bacteria
Description: bacterial SSU rRNA
Rfam family: Bacterial small subunit ribosomal RNA
Source: RNAcentral
AGUCGAACGGAGAUUACAGGCGGAAGUUUUCGGAUGGAAGCUUGUAAACUUAGUGGCGGACGGGUGAGUAACACGUGAGCAACCUGCCUAUCAGAGGGGGAUAACGAUUGGAAACGAUCGCUAAUACCGCAUGACAUAGCGGAACCGCAUGGUUCUGUUAUCAAAGAUUUAUCGCUGAUAGAUGGGCUCGCGUCCGAUUAGAUAGUUGGUGGGGUAACGGCCUACCAAGUCGACGAUCGGUAGCCGGACUGAGAGGUCGAACGGCCACAUUGGGACUGAGACACGGCCCAGACUCCUACGGGAGGCAGCAGUGGGGGAUAUUGCACAAUGGGGGAAACCCUGAUGCAGCGACGCCGCGUGAGGGAAGACGGUCCUCUGGAUUGUAAACCUCUGUCUUCGGGGACGAAACGAGACGGUACCCGAGGAGGAAGCCACGGCUAACUACGUGCCAGCAGCCGCGGUAAUACGUAGGUGGCAAGCGUUGUCCGGAAUUACUGGGUGUAAAGGGAGCGUAGGCGGGCAGGCAAGUCAGGCGUGAAAUAUAUCGGCUCAACCGGUAACGGCGCUUGAAACUGCAGGUCUUGAGUGAAGUAGAGGUUGGCGGAAUUCCUAGUGUAGCGGUGAAAUGCGUAGAUAUUAGGAGGAACACCAGUGGCGAAGGCGGCCAACUGGGCUUUUACUGACGCUGAGGCUCGAAAGUGUGGGGAGCAAACAGGAUUAGAUACCCUGGUAGUCCACACCGUAAACGAUGAUUACUAGGUGUGGGGGGACUGACCCCUUCCGUGCCGGAGUUAACACAAUAAGUAAUCCACCUGGGGAGUACGGCCGCA